AUACGUAGGUGGCAAGCGUUAUCCGGAAUUAUUGGGCGUAAAGAGGGAGCAGGCGGCAGCAAGGGUCUGUGGUGAAAGCCUGAAGCUUAACUUCAGUAAGCCAUAGAAACCAGGCAGCUAGAGUGCAGGAGAGGAUCGUGGAAUUCCAUGUGUAGCGGUGAAAUGCGUAGAUAUAUGGAGGAACACCAGUGGCGAAGGCGACGAUCUGGCCUGCAACUGACGCUCAGUCCCGAAAGCGUGGGGAGCAAAUAGGAUUAGAUACCCUAGUAGUCCACGCCGUAAACGAUGAGUACUAAGUGUUGGAUGUCAAAGUUCAGUGCUGCAGUUAACGCAAUAAGUACUCCGCCUGAGUAGUACGUUCGCAAGAAUGAAACUUAAAGGAAUUGGCGGG
This 391-nucleotide ribosomal RNA is filed under the name uncultured bacterium. RNAcentral's name for it is "partial 16S ribosomal RNA". It matches the Rfam family "Bacterial small subunit ribosomal RNA", at positions 523 to 917 of the family's 1533-position model. The record is from RNAcentral.